AUUGAACGCUGGCGGCAGGCCUAACACAUGCAAGUCGAACGAGUGGCGGACGGGUGAGUAAUGUCUGGGAAACUGCCCGAUGGAGGGGGAUAACUCCUGGCAACGGUAGCUAAUCCCGCAUACCCUCGGCUUUGCCCCGAUGGGAUUAGCUUGUAGGUGAGGUAACGGCUCACCUAGGCGACGAUCCCUAGCUGGUCUGAGAGGAUGACCAGCCACACUGGAACUGAGACACGGUCCAGACUCCUACGGGAGGCAGCAGUGGGGAAUAUUGCACAAUGGGCGAAAGCCUGAUGCAGCCAUGCCGCGUGUAUGAAGAAGGCCUUCGGGUUGUAAAGUACUGUCAGCGGGGAGGCGUUACCCGCAGAAGAAGCACCGGCUAACUCCGUGCCAGCAGCCGCGGUAAUAC
Molecule: ribosomal RNA, 406 nt
Filed under: uncultured bacterium
Lineage: Bacteria
Description: partial 16S ribosomal RNA
Rfam family: Bacterial small subunit ribosomal RNA
Source: RNAcentral